AGGGAAUAUUGCGCAAUGGGCGAAAGCCUGACGCAGCGAUACCGCGUGAGUGAGGAAGGUCUUCGGAUUGUAAAGCUCUGUCGGGAUGGAAAAAUGGCGUAGGGUCUAAUAGGCCUUACGAUUGAUGGUACAUCCAAAGGAAGCACCGGCUAACUUCGUGCCAGCAGCCGCGGUAAUACGAAGGGUGCAAGCGUUGUUCGGAUUUAUUGGGCGUAAAGCGCGCGUAGGCGGAUAAUUAAGUCAGAUGUGAAAUCUCAGGGCUCAACUCUGAAACUGCGUCUGAAACUGGUUGUCUAGAAUACUGGAAGGGGAAGGGGAAUUUCGCAUGUAGGGGUAAGAUCCGUAGAUAUGCGAAGGAAUACCAGAGGCGAAGGCGCCUUCCUAGACAGUAAUUGACGCUGAGGUGCGAAAGCGUGGGGAGCAAAC
Molecule: ribosomal RNA, 426 nt
Filed under: uncultured bacterium
Lineage: Bacteria
Description: bacterial SSU rRNA
Rfam family: Bacterial small subunit ribosomal RNA
Source: RNAcentral